GUUUACUGCCAUACCGCCCUAAACGCACCUGAUCUUGCUUGAUCUUGGAAGCUAAGCAGCGUCAGGCCUGGUUAGUACUUGGAUGAGAGACAAUACUUACUAUUGGGCAAUUCAGAUUACUGUUAAAU
Molecule: ribosomal RNA, 128 nt
Organism: Ochotona princeps (American pika)
Lineage: Eukaryota; Metazoa; Chordata; Mammalia; Lagomorpha; Ochotonidae
Source: Ensembl